UACGAAGGGGGCGAGGCGUUGUUCGGAAUUACUGGGCGUAAAGGGCUCGUAGGCGGCCAACUAAGUCACACGUGAAAUCCCCAGCUUAACCUGGGAACUGCGUGUGAUACUGGAUGGCUUGAAUCCGGGAGAGGGAUGCAGAAUCCAGUGUAGCGGUGAAAUGCGUAGAUAUCUGGAGGAAUACCGGUGGCGAAGGCGGCAUUCUGGAUCCGGCAUGACGCUGAUGAGCGAA
This 232-nucleotide ribosomal RNA is filed under the name uncultured bacterium. Its description in RNAcentral is "partial 16S ribosomal RNA". It matches the Rfam family "Bacterial small subunit ribosomal RNA", at positions 524 to 757 of the family's 1533-position model. The record is from RNAcentral.